RNAcentral lists this ribosomal RNA (254 nucleotides) under uncultured bacterium. Its description in RNAcentral is "partial 16S ribosomal RNA". It matches the Rfam family "Bacterial small subunit ribosomal RNA", at positions 524 to 776 of the family's 1533-position model. The record is from RNAcentral.
UACGGGGGGAGCAAGCGUUGUUCGGAUUUACUGGGCGUAAAGAGCUCGUAGGCGGUGUGUCGCGUCGGCCGUGAAAACCUGCAGCUUAACUGUGGGCUUGCGGUCGAUACGGGCAUCACUGGAGUUCGGCAGGGGAGACUGGAAUUCCUGGUGUAGCGGUGAAAUGCGCAGAUAUCAGGAGGAACACCGGUGGCGAAGGCGGGUCUCUGGGCCGAUACUGACGCUGAGGAGCGAAAGCGUGGGGAGCGAACAGG